Molecule: ribosomal RNA, 700 nt
Filed under: uncultured bacterium
Lineage: Bacteria
Description: bacterial SSU rRNA
Rfam family: Bacterial small subunit ribosomal RNA
Source: RNAcentral
UCAGGCCUAACACAUGCAAGUCGAACGAAGUAGCAAUACUUAGUGGCAGACGGGUGAGUAACAUGUAGGUAUCUGCCCUUUGGCCUGGUAUAACACGAGGAAACUUGUGCUAAUACCGGAUAAGUCUUUACGGAGAAAGCUUUAUGCACCAUUGGAUGAGCCUGCACUUGAUUAGUUUGUUGGUGGGGUAAUGGCCUACCAAGACUGUGAUCAAUAGCUGAUUUGAGAGGAUGAUCAGCCACAUUGGGACUGAGACACGGCCCAAACUCCUACGGGAGGCAGCAGUGGGGAAUCUUGCACAAUGGAGGAAACUCUGAUGCAGCGAUGCCGCGUGAGUGAAGAAGGCCCUUGGGUUGUAAAGCUCUUUCGUCGGGGAAGAAAAUGACUGUACCCGAAUAAGAAGGUCCGGCUAACUUCGUGCCAGCAGCCGCGGUAAUACGAAGGGACCUAGCGUAGUUCGGAAUUACUGGGCUUAAAGAGUUCGUAGGUGGUUGAAAAAGUUGGUGGUGAAAUCCCAGAGCUUAACUCUGGAACUGCCAUCAAAACUUUUCAGCUAGAGUAUGAUAGAGGAAAGCAGAAUUUCUAGUGUAGAGGUGAAAUUCGUAGAUAUUAGAAAGAAUACCAAUUGCGAAGGCAGCUUUCUGGAUCAUUACUGACACUGAGGAACGAAAGCAUGGGUAGCGAAGAGGAUUAGAUACCC